This 1345-nucleotide long non-coding RNA is filed under the name Chrysemys picta bellii (western painted turtle). Its description in RNAcentral is "lncRNA (ENSCPBG00000000390.1)". The record is from RNAcentral. Lineage: Eukaryota; Metazoa; Chordata; Testudines; Emydidae.
UAAAAAAUCAAACAAAAGAAAACCUUGAUAUUUAAUUAAAACAGCAGCCAAGGAAAUAAUCAAUACUCGAUUUAAACAUAAGAAAAGACUUAAUAUUCAGACAUUAAGGAGGAAUUGGACUUGGAGAUACCUAAUUUCACAUAGAAACUCUAGCUGUGACGUUCCUGACCUAGGAUUCUUUGGGACUCUCUUCCCCUGAAGAUAUUCCCACUCCAAGAGACUGCAUCUAAAAGUUUGAAGCCAGUAAAAAAAGAAAUAUUGGUGUUUCGGGACUAUAAAGUGCUGGCAGGCAUAAGCUUGUAACUUUCUACUGAAGCUGUUUCAUUCAAAAGGUAGAAGAAAUCAUUUUUAUUUUCCUCUCUUCAAGAAAAUAUCUGUUUUAUUGGCUGUUUACUGCUUAUGCUAUUUUCUUACUUGGUAUUUUCAUCUGAAGAAAGCUUUUUAAGUUACGUUGCUUUAAUUUUUUUUUGGUUUUGAACAUUUUUCUUGGUAAAUUAGAGGGUGGUUUAAUUACUGGUCCUCUUCAUAGUAAUAGACCUUUUCCCCCUUGACAGUGAAAACAGUGAGGCUUGUUAAAUUAACCCUUGUGUUGGUUAGCAGAUCUCUCUCUCUCUCUCUCUCUCUCUCUUUCUCUCUCAGGCACCUAUCUUCCUAGUGUCUGUGUCGAGAUGGAAGAAGUGUGGGUUGUCUACUUGUCCCUGUUCUUGCUUGUCUUGGUGCUCAUUUUAAUGAAGCGUGACCCAGAUUUGGAGGCCGCAAAGAAAGUUAAGGAAACACCAAGCACCCCAGCACCAACCACCUAUUAUUCCAGUGGUGCUGGCAAACAUCUGGAAUACACUGAAGAAGAGAUGGAGAAAUCCCUGGAGAGGCUAACCAGCAUCUUGUAUGAGGUAGAUGCUAGAAAAAGGGAAACCCACCAUGAGCAGAAAACAGCAAAGGCAGAAGCCUAUCACCAUCACAAAGCACCUGACGCAGAGUCUGAAAAUAAAGAGCUAAUGGGAAAGGGGCCAGGACAUUCCCAGCAUCUAUCUAGCCAGCACAGGGUUCAGGAGAAAGCAACUCAUCCUGGAGGCCCUGGGAAUAUCAUGGAUGAGAUUGGUCUGAAAUGACUGUUCAGUCUGAGGCUGAUCAAAUCUAGAGGGGUUCCUGCUCCGGUUCCCGGUGUGUGCAGUGGCAGCUUGCAGAAGUAGUGACAUCACAGCCUUCCUGAAAAAGCCCUGGAGUAACAUGAAGAAGAGGAGGCUCUUCCUAAGCAUGGCAGAGAGGGGGAUGCUGCACAUUUGACAUUGUAUUUACUUUAAAAAAAAAAAGGCAACAACCCAAUCUCCCCGGGGAGGCCAGGUCA